RNAcentral lists this long non-coding RNA (246 nucleotides) under Trifolium pratense (red clover). RNAcentral describes it as "long non-coding RNA (TPRA_LNC012144)". Lineage: Eukaryota; Viridiplantae; Streptophyta; Magnoliopsida; Fabales; Fabaceae. The record is from RNAcentral.
GGAAAUUGAGCCAAAAACAUUGUCAGCUUUGAAGGAUCUUUGGAAUAAUAAUGUUCCGACGAAAGUAAGCAUUUUUGGUUGGAGGUUGUUAUUAGAUAAAUUACCAACAAAGGGAGACUCUUUUCAAUAGAGGUAUUAUCACCAAUAAUUAUGAGAGGUGCUGUAUUUUCUGCUUUAGGGAGGUGGAGGACUCUCAACAUAUUUUUUUCAAUUGUCAAGUGACUCAACAAGUGUGGCAUAACAUAU